AAAAAAAGAUAAUAAUGUUUAUAGGCUCUUAUUUUUAUUUUAAUGUCUAUUGCUCUUAUCUUUUUAUGAGUUUCAUGUUUGAUUUUUGUGGUUAAGGGUUGUGAAUUUAGGAUUAUAUAUUUAGAGUUUCAAUUGGUCUUAGUGUGAUAAAAAUUACACACAGAGGAAAAAAAAAGGGUGAAGGGCAAUUCUUUUUAUUUAU
This 202-nucleotide unclassified non-coding RNA is filed under the name Hevea brasiliensis (rubber tree). Lineage: Eukaryota; Viridiplantae; Streptophyta; Magnoliopsida; Malpighiales; Euphorbiaceae. The record is from RNAcentral.